AACCUCUUUAUGUCACCUAGUUCUUUUGAUUUGUAGUUCAUGAGCAUGUAAGAGAUAUGCCACCUUUGAACCUUAUUACGUCAGCACAUUAUCUGUCUCACC
This is a small nucleolar RNA of Chlorocebus sabaeus (green monkey), 102 nucleotides long. It matches the Rfam family "Small nucleolar RNA U13". The record is from Rfam. NCBI's taxonomy places the organism in Eukaryota, Metazoa, Chordata, Mammalia, Primates, Cercopithecidae.